UGCUCUUUGAAAAAAUAAAUAUAAAGAGUACUGCCUGCCCAGUGACGUUGUUUAACGGCCGCGGUAUUUUGACCGUGCGAAGGUAGCAUAAUCAUUUGUUUUUUAAAUGAAGACUGGAAUGAAUGGCAAGACGGAGAUUUAACUGUCUCUUUUUUUAGUAUCUUGAAAUUAAUUUUCUUGUGAAGAAGCAGGAAUAAAAUCGUAAGACGAGAAGACCCUAUUGAGCUUAAAUAUAUUUAUUAGGUAAUGAAGAAUUAAUUUCUACUAAUAAAAGAAAUAAAUAGAAAUCUAUAGAAAGUAAUUUAAUUAAUAAUACUAUUAUUUUGAUUGGGGCAAUCAUGGAGAAAAAAAUCCUCCAUUAUAAUUUAGAAAAUUAAUUUUUUAAAAUGUAAAUAUUAUAAUUUUUAAAUGAUCCACUUUUUGAGUGAUCAAAGGAACAAGUUACCAUAGGGAUAACAGCGUAAUUUUUUUGGAGAGUUCAUAUUGAUAAAAAAGUUUGCGACCUCGAUGUUGGAUCGGGAUAUCCUAAAAAUGCAGUAGUUUUUAAGGGUUGGUCUGUUCGUCCAUUAAAAUCCU
This 576-nucleotide ribosomal RNA is filed under the name Pteraster sp. EAC01. RNAcentral describes it as "partial 16S ribosomal RNA". It matches the Rfam family "Bacterial large subunit ribosomal RNA", at positions 1817 to 2597 of the family's 2925-position model. Lineage: Eukaryota; Metazoa; Echinodermata; Asteroidea; Velatida; Pterasteridae. The record is from RNAcentral.